RNAcentral lists this unclassified non-coding RNA (236 nucleotides) under Hevea brasiliensis (rubber tree). Lineage: Eukaryota; Viridiplantae; Streptophyta; Magnoliopsida; Malpighiales; Euphorbiaceae. The record is from RNAcentral.
GAAAUUUUAAAAUAACAAUUGCAAACUAACAACAAUUCUCUUAGAAAAAAUUUCAUCCCAGAAGUAGUGAAGCACAAAAAUUUUCAGAGAAGCACAGAAGCAAAAUAAAAAAAAAUAAAUCAAAACCAUUUGAGCUUAACCGUAUCUCACGCUUUUAACAAGAACAAUGCUAGUCUGCACCUUCUCAGUUUCUCAUCUCGAGGAAGAAGAGCGAUAGGUCAUGGGUAGAUCAACAA